GUAGUAUUAGUUAUAUUCUUAAAAUUUAAAAAAUUUGGCGGUGUUUUAGUCUAUUUAGAGGAAUCUGUUCUGAAUUGAUAAUUCACAUUGAACCUUACUUAAAUUUGUUUAAUUUGUAUAUCGCCGUCAUCAGAAUAUGUUAUAAGAUGUCAGGUCAAGGUGCAGUUUAUAUUUAAGUAGAAAUGGAUUACAAUAAUUUUAUUUAAAUGGAUAAUUUUUUGAAAUAAAGAUUUGAAGGUGGAUUUAAUAGUAAUAUAAAAGAGAUUAU
This 268-nucleotide ribosomal RNA is filed under the name Aedes albopictus (Asian tiger mosquito). RNAcentral describes it as "partial 12S ribosomal RNA". The record is from RNAcentral. Lineage: Eukaryota; Metazoa; Arthropoda; Insecta; Diptera; Culicidae.